UGAUCCUGGCUCAGGAUUAAUGAUGAUCCUGGCUCAGGAUGAACGCUGGCGGCGUGCUUAACACAUGCAAGUCGAACGAACCUUCGGGUUAGUGGCGGACGGGUGAGUAACGCGUGAGAAUCUGCCCUCAGGAGGGGGAUAACGGCUGGAAACGGCCGCUAAUACCCCAUAUGCCGAGAGGUGAAAUGAAUUUCGCCUGAGGAUGAGCUCGCGUCUGAUUAGCUAGUUGGUGGGGUAAUGGCCCACCAAGGCUUCGAUCAGUAGCUGGUCUGAGAGGAUGAUCAGCCACACUGGGACUGAGACACGGCCCAGACUCCUACGGGAGGCAGCAGUGGGGAAUUUUCCGCAAUGGGCGAAAGCCUGACGGAGCAACGCCGCGUGAGGGAUGAAGGCCUCUGGGCUGUAAACCUCUUUUCUCAAGGAAGAAGAUAUGACGGUACUUGAGGAAUAAGCCACGGCUAAUUCCGUGCCAGCAGCCGCGGUAAUACGGGAGUGGCAAGCGUUAUCCGGAAUUAUUGGGCGUAAAGCGUCCGCAGGCGGCCUUGAAAGUCUGUUGUUAAAGCGUGGAGCUUAACUCCAUUUCAGCGAUGGAAACUACAAGGCUAGAGUGUGGUAGGGGCAGAGGGAAUUCCCGGUGUAGCGGUGAAAUGCGUAGAUAUCGGGAAGAACACCAGUGGCGAAGGCGCUCUGCUGGGCCAUAACUGACGCUCAUGGACGAAAGCCAGGGGAGCGAAAGGGAUUAGAUACCCCUGUAGUCCUGGCCGUAAACGAUGAACACUAGGUGUCGGGGGAAUCGACCCCCUCGGUGUCGUAGCCAACGCGUUAAGUGUUCCGCCUGGGGAGUACGCACGCAAGUGUGAAACUCAAAGGAAUUGACGGGGGCCCGCACAAGCGGUGGAGUAUGUGGUUUAAUUCGAUGCAACGCGAAGAACCUUACCAGGGUUUGACAUCCUGCGAAUCCCUUGGAAACGAGGGAGUGCCUUCGGGAGCGCAGUGACAGGUGGUGCAUGGCUGUCGUCAGCUCGUGUCGUGAGAUGUUGGGUUAAGUCCCGCAACGAGCGCAACCCACGUCUUUAGUUGCCAGCAUUCAGUUGGGCACUCUAGAGAGACCGCCGGUGAUAAACCGGAGGAAGGUGUGGAUGACGUCAAGUCAUCAUGCCCCUUACAUCCUGGGCUACACACGUACUACAAUGCUACGGACAAAGGGCAGCAAACUCGCGAGAGCUAGCAAAUCCCAUAAACCGUGGCUCAGUUCAGAUCGUAGGCUGCAACUCGCCUACGUGAAGGAGGAAUCGCUAGUAAUCGCAGGUCAGCAUACUGCGGUGAAUACGUUCCCGGGCCUUGUACACACCGCCCGUCACACCAUGGAAGUUGGCCACGCCCGAAGUCGUUACUCCAACCCUUGUGGGAGGAGGAUGCCGAAGGUGGGGCUGAUGACUGGGGUGAAGUCGUAACAAGGUAGCCGUACCGG
This 1471-nucleotide ribosomal RNA is filed under the name Cyanobium sp. CZS_22C. RNAcentral's name for it is "bacterial SSU rRNA". It matches the Rfam family "Bacterial small subunit ribosomal RNA". The record is from RNAcentral. Lineage: Bacteria; Bacillati; Cyanobacteriota; Cyanophyceae; Synechococcales; Prochlorococcaceae.